UCUUGAAAACCAAGUCCUGCAAACAAGUGAAGCCAGAGAAAAGACCUUAUGUAACACCAUUAGACCACAGUCCAUGCACAAGAAAACCAAACAGUCUAAAAAGAAAGGAAAUAUUAAUAAAGGAACUCAAAACGGACAUUGACUUCUCUGAAAAAGGAUCUCAGCUCGUCCAAUGACUUCUCAAAACUUCCAUACAUUCUAAUGGAUAACCUUAGCCACUUCGAAAUAUGUGCUCUAUUCU
This 241-nucleotide long non-coding RNA is filed under the name Gossypium barbadense (sea-island cotton). RNAcentral describes it as "long non-coding RNA (GBAR_LNC018380)". The record is from RNAcentral. Lineage: Eukaryota; Viridiplantae; Streptophyta; Magnoliopsida; Malvales; Malvaceae.